GAACACUAAUUCUCCGUCACCCGUCACCACCAUGGUAGGUGUUAUAGGGUCAAUUUUUCGCAAAAAUAGACACUACACGGCAGCAGCUCACAGCCACUUCAGCCUUCAUUUUUCGCACACAGACACAGUCUGACUUAGGAUUUUCAAACAUUAGCCAAACUAAGAACACACACAGAUUUACGGGUAAAACCCAACCUUUAUUAGUUCUCGCCGCAUAUACAAAGGACUCUCUUUUUAGACUUGGCUCACAUAUGUAAUGCUACUUGCCUUCUCCACAUGCGGAGAUACAAUCUAUAUAAAGGGGCUGCCAAUGGCAGUUACAAAGGGGCAGUUUCUACCAUGUGCCAUGCACAUGCCUUAGGUGGUUCCGAGUAGUUGCUACCAUGUCUUCCACUUUGUAGCCAACAGCCCAUGAUCUUAGAUCAUGUCUUCAACUUCCAGCACAUGUCCUUGAUCAUCAUCUUAGAUCAUGUCUUCGCCAUCAAAUUGACCUUCCCUUUCCAGUUCCCAACAGACAUAGAAACAUCAUAAGCCAUACUCACAAUGGCUUGUGCUUUGGUGUUCAUAGUCUUUAUGUAAGAGGGACAUUUCGACACUCUCAAUCGAUACUUAUGCACCAAACUGGCAGAAAUAAGGGUGUGAGUAGCGCCAGUAUCUACCAUAUCUAUCACACUUAUGUUCCCAAUCCUCAUCUAUAUGUGCAUCAGCAAAGAAUAAGGGUUCGUCUCGUUACUUGUAGCAUUUAGAAAUGAGAUAAAAUUCAACAAUUGCAAAGCAUUUACCCGCUCCCGAUUUGGACAGUCUUUGGCAAGAUGAGGUCAUCCGCACGUCCAGCAACCAUCAGUUUUCCUGUUUGCGACGCCUUUGUUUUGAACAACCCGAUCGACCACCUUGCCCUUCUCAACGACUUCUUCUCGAACUUCUUUCCUCCAUUCCCUUUCUUCUCCACCCUUUAGUUAGGUUAUGAAGUAGGAGGAAUAUCUGAAAGAGUACGGGUGCUGCGAUAGUCCACUAAUGAAUCUGCUACAGCCAUUCCUAAGAUCCUUCAUAGUCUGUCUCCUAAGUUCAUUCUGCGCCCAUGCUUGAAUUCCAGAAAUAAAGUUAUGCAAUUUGUCAUCAUCCGACAUGUUUUGAACAUCCAACAUUAAGGAAGAGAAUUCCUUAAUAUAAUCUCGAACAUAUCCUGUUUGUCGCAAGCGUUUCAAAUGGUCACUAGCAAGCUAAGAUGCAUUGCUAGGCAAUAAUUGGGCCUUCAUUUCUUUUAUGAGCUUCUCCCAUGUAUCAAUUUUUGGUCUGCCCGCACUUUCAUCGUCCACCAUACGAGUUCUCCACCACAAUAUAGCAUCUCCCGUUAGGUACAUGCUUGUAAUUGUGACCUUCUCUGGAUUUGAAACUUUGGCAGCAACAAAAUAUUGUUCCAUGUCCCACAGAAACUUCUCCAAUUCUUUUUCACUAUGCGUUCUACCAAACGCCUUUGGAUCAGGAAUCUUUAACUUCGAGCGUUCUUCAUUGCCUUGGCUUGGAUCAGCCAACGCCCGUCGAAGAACAUUGAUUUCGGCCUUCAAGUUGUCGACCUUCUUCUUCAGGUCUUCAACUACGCCAUCCGUUGAUUCACAACUUUGUUGGAUCCCAUCGCGAAACUGAUCUACCCUAUCCUUCAAACGGUAAAUCUCUAUUAUAAGAUAUGCCAUAUCCAAAGGAUCAUCGUUCAUGCCGAUUAGCGCCUCCAACCGUUGCACUCUAUCAAGUAAGUCUGAUCAAGGGCUACAACCAAAAAGCUCUGAUACAAAUUGUUACAGGGUCAAUUUUUUGCAAAAAUAGACACUGCACGGAAGCAGCUCACAGCCACUUCAGCCUUCACUUUUCGCACACACACACAGUCUGACAGGAUUUUCAGACUUUUGCCAAACUAAGAACACACACAGAAUUUACGGGUAAAACCCAACCUUUAUUGAUUUUCGCAGAAUAUACAAAGGACACUCUUUUUAGACUUGGCUCACAUAUGUAAUGCUACUUGCUUUCUCCACAUGCGGAGAUACAAUCUAUAUAAAGGGGCUGCCAAUGGCAGUUACAAAGGGACAGNNNNNNNNNNNNNNNNNNNNNNNNNNNNNNNNNNNNNNNNNNNNNNNNNNNNNNNNNNNNNNNNNNNNNNNCAAUGGUAGUUACAAAGGGACAGUUACAAAGGGGCAGUUUCUACAAUGUGCCAUGCACAUGCCUUAGGUGGUUCCGGGCAGUUGCUACCAUGUCUUCCAAUUUGUAGCCAACAGCCCAUGAUCUUAGAUCAUGUCUUCAACUUCCAGUACAUGUCCUUGACACCACUUAGUCACAUGCCAUGCACGAUGGCCUCUAGCCUUGCCCACGUUUUCUUUGUCUCCAGCCCCGCUUUGUCUUGGACCUUGCCUCGCCCUUAAUUCCAUAGCCACGCCCUGCUAUGAAUUAAGUCGUCCCACCGAUCCGCGCAUUCCUUUGCCGCGCUUUGCCUUGGACCUUGCCUCGCCCUUAAUUUCAUAGCCAUACCCUGUUAUGAAUCAAGUCGUCCCACUGAUCCGCGCAUACCUUUUGUUGCCUUGGAAUUUGCCUCGCCCUUAAUUUCAUAGCCAUGCCCUACUAUGAAUCAAGUUGUCCCACUUUUCCGCGCAUACCUUUGUCCGGCUUUGCCUUGAACCUUGCCUAGCCCUCAAUUUCUUAGCAACGCCUUGCUAUAAAUUAAGUCAUCCCAAAGAUCCGCGCAUGCCCUUGUCAAGUGCCAUGCUUCCAUUGGCCAUAACUGAUGCCCACGAACCAAGGCCUCCUUGCCAACACUCCAACUGCUUUGUCUAGCUGCCUUGCCUAAGCCCAUCACCAACUUAGACACACACCCAGCCUUGUACAUUGCUUGUCAAUGCUUCAGCGAAGCCAUGUCAAGGGGCAAUGCACAAGCCCUCAACAUGAAUUUGCCCGACAUUCAUCAAGUCACCUAAGCCCAUCACCAACUUAGACACACACCCAGCCUUGUACAUUGCUUGUCAAUGCUUCAGCGAAGCCAUGUCAAGGGGCAAUGCACAAGCCCUCAACAUGAAUUUGCCCGACAUCCGUCAAGUCAAUAUUUGGGGUCGUAACAGUAGGCCACUAUCUUACCAUCGAAAGUUGAUAGGGCAAAAAUUUGAAUGAUGCGUCGCCGGCAUGAUGGUCGUGCGAUCCGUCGAGUAAUCAUGAAUCAUCGCAGCAACGGGCAGAACCCACGUCGACCUUUUAUCUAAUAAAUGCAUCCGUUCCAAAAGUCGGGGUUUGUUGCACGUAUUGGCUCUAGAAUUACUACGGUUAUCCGAGUAGUAGAUACCAUCAAACAAACUAUAACUGAUUUAAUGAGCCAUUCGUAGUUUCACAGUCUGAAUUUGUUCAUACUUACACAUGCAUGGCUUAAUCUUUGAGAUAAGCAUAUGACUACCGGCAGGACCAGCCAGGUAGCAUUCCUCAUUGACGC
RNAcentral lists this long non-coding RNA (3463 nucleotides) under Nicotiana benthamiana. Its description in RNAcentral is "long non-coding RNA (NBEN_LNC033354)". The record is from RNAcentral. Lineage: Eukaryota; Viridiplantae; Streptophyta; Magnoliopsida; Solanales; Solanaceae.